GCACUCAUAUCAGCAGCACACAUACUAUAACUGGCACAACACAGAGGUCAGCAUGGGACCCAUGCACAGAUGACACACAAAUUCAUGAAGUGUUCUACAUACAU
RNAcentral lists this small nuclear RNA (104 nucleotides) under Pan troglodytes (chimpanzee). The record is from RNAcentral. Lineage: Eukaryota; Metazoa; Chordata; Mammalia; Primates; Hominidae.